Molecule: ribosomal RNA, 253 nt
Filed under: uncultured bacterium
Lineage: Bacteria
Description: partial 16S ribosomal RNA
Rfam family: Bacterial small subunit ribosomal RNA
Source: RNAcentral
UACGUAGGGUGCAAGCGUUAAUCGGAAUUACUGGGCGUAAAGCGUGCGCAGGCGGUUGUGCAAGACAGAUGUGAAAUCCCCGGGCUCAACCUGGGAAUUGCGUUGGAGACUGCAAGGCUAGAAUCUGGCAGAGGGGGGUAGAAUUCCACGUGUAGCAGUGAAAUGCGUAGAGAUGUGGAGGAACACCGAUGGCGAAGGCAGCCCCCUGGGUCAAGAUUGACGCUCAUGCACGAAAGCGUGGGGAGCAAACAGG